GUGGGGAAUCUUCCACAAUGGGGGCAACCCUGAUGGAGCAACACCGCGUGCUGGAUGAAGGCCUUCGGGUCGUAAACAGCUUUUGUAUACGAAGAAUAUGACGGUAAUAUACGAAUAAGGGUCGGCUAACUACGUGCCAGCAGCCGCGGUCAUACGUAGGACCCAAGCGUUAUCCGGAGUGACUGGGCGUAAAGAGUUGCGUAGGCGGCUUAUUAAGCGAGUAGUGAAAUCUGGUGGCUCAACCAUCAACACAUUGCUCGAACUGAUAGGCUUGAGAAUGGUAGAGGUAGUUGGAAUUUCUUGUGUAGGAGUGAAAUCCGUAGAUAUAAGAAGGAACACCAAUGGCGUAGGCAGACUACUGGACCAUUUCUGACGCUGAGGCACGAAAGCGUGGGGAGCGAACCGGAUUAGAAACCCUAGUAGUCC
This 426-nucleotide ribosomal RNA is filed under the name uncultured bacterium. RNAcentral's name for it is "partial 16S ribosomal RNA". It matches the Rfam family "Bacterial small subunit ribosomal RNA", at positions 354 to 796 of the family's 1533-position model. The record is from RNAcentral.